Molecule: ribosomal RNA, 484 nt
Filed under: uncultured bacterium
Lineage: Bacteria
Description: partial 16S ribosomal RNA
Rfam family: Bacterial small subunit ribosomal RNA
Source: RNAcentral
AUUGAACGCUGGCGGCAGGCCUAACACAUGCAAGUCGAGCGGAUGAAGGGAGCUUGCUCCUGGAUUCAGCGGCGGACGGGUGAGUAAUGCCUAGGAAUCUGCCUGGUAGUUGGGGAUAACGUCCGGAAACGGGCGCUGAUACCGCAUACGUCCUGAGGGUGAAAGUGGGGGAUCUUCGGACCUCACGCUAUCAGAUGAGCCUAGGUCGGAUUAGCUAGUUGGUGGGGUAAAGGCCUACCAAGGCGACGAUCCGUAACUGGUCUGAGAGGAUGAUCAGUCACACUGGAACUGAGACACGGUCCAGACUCCUACGGGAGGCAGCAGUGGGGAAUCUUGGACAAUGGGCGAAAGCCUGAUCCAGCCAUGCCGCGUGUGUGAAGAAGGUCUUCGGAUUGUAAAGCACUUUAAGUUGGGAGGAAGGGCAGUAAGUUAAUACCUUGCUGUUUUGACGGUACCAACAGAAUAAGCACCGGCUAACUUCGUG